This 260-nucleotide ribosomal RNA is filed under the name uncultured bacterium. RNAcentral's name for it is "partial small subunit ribosomal RNA". It matches the Rfam family "Bacterial small subunit ribosomal RNA", at positions 26 to 288 of the family's 1533-position model. The record is from RNAcentral.
AGGACGAACGCUGGCGGCGUGCUUAACACAUGCAAGUCGAGCGGAAAGGCCCUUCGGGGUACUCGAGCGGCGAACGGGUGAGUAACACGUGAGCAACCUGCCCCUGGCUCUGGGAUAGCCUUCGGAAACGGGGAUUAAUACCGGACAUGACCCUUGACCGCAUGGUUGGGGGUGGAAAGUUUUUACGGCCAGGGUGGGGCUCGCGGGCCUAUCAGCUUGGUUGGGGGGGUGACGGCCCACCAAGGCGACGACGGGUAGCC